This 73-nucleotide transfer RNA is filed under the name Ovis aries (sheep). It matches the Rfam family "tRNA". From Rfam's summary of the family: Transfer RNA (tRNA) molecules are approximately 80 nucleotides in length. Their secondary structure includes four short double-helical elements and three loops (D, anti-codon, and T loops). The record is from Rfam by way of RNAcentral. Lineage: Eukaryota; Metazoa; Chordata; Mammalia; Artiodactyla; Bovidae.
UCCCCGGAAGUCCAGUGGUUAGGACUCUGUGCUUCCAAUGCAGAGGGCUCAGGUUCCAUCCCUGGUCAGGGAA